This 770-nucleotide ribosomal RNA is filed under the name marine metagenome. RNAcentral describes it as "bacterial SSU rRNA". It matches the Rfam family "Bacterial small subunit ribosomal RNA", at positions 8 to 823 of the family's 1533-position model. The record is from RNAcentral.
AGAGUUUGAUCAUGGCUCAGAACGUACGCUGGCGGCACGCCUAACACAUGCAAGUCGAACGAAGUAGCAAUACUUAGUGGCAGACGGGUGAGUAACAUGUGGGUAUCUGCCCUUUGGCCUGGAAUAACACGAGGAAACUUGUGCUAAUACCGGAUAAGUCUUUACGGAGAAAGCUUUAUGCACCAUUGGAUGAGCCCGCACUUGAUUAGUUUGUUGGUGGGGUAAUGGCCUACCAAGACUGUGAUCAAUAGCUGAUUUGAGAGGAUGAUCAGCCACAUUGGGACUGAGACACGGCCCAAACUCCUACGGGAGGCAGCAGUGGGGAAUCUUGCACAAUGGAGGAAACUCUGAUGCAGCGAUGCCGCGUGAGUGAAGAAGGCCUUUGGGUUGUAAAGCUCUUUCGUCGGGGAAGAAAAUGACUGUACCCGAAUAAGAAGGUCCGGCUAACUUCGUGCCAGCAGCCGCGGUAAUACGAAGGGACCUAGCGUAGUUCGGAAUUACUGGGCUUAAAGAGUUCGUAGGUGGUUGAAAAAGUUGGUGGUGAAAUCCCAGAGCUUAACUCUGGAACUGCCAUCAAAACUUUUCAGCUAGAGUUUGAUAGAGGAAAGCAGAAUUUCUAGUGUAGAGGUGAAAUUCGUAGAUAUUAGAAAGAAUACCAAUUGCGAAGGCAGCUUUCUGGAUCAUUACUGACACUGAGGAACGAAAGCAUGGGUAGCGAAGAGGAUUAGAUACCCUCGUAGUCCAUGCCGUAAACGAUGUGUGUUAGACGU